RNAcentral lists this ribosomal RNA (301 nucleotides) under uncultured bacterium. RNAcentral's name for it is "partial 16S ribosomal RNA". It matches the Rfam family "Bacterial small subunit ribosomal RNA", at positions 509 to 809 of the family's 1533-position model. The record is from RNAcentral.
CAGCCGCCGCGGUAAUACGAAGGGUGCAAGCGUUACUCGGAAUUACUGGGCGUAAAGCGUGCGUAGGUGGUGGUUUAAGUCCGUUGUGAAAGCCCUGGGCUCAACCUGGGAAUUGCAGUGGAUACUGGGUCACUAGAGUGUGGUAGAGGAUAGUGGAAUUUCCGGUGUAGCAGUGAAAUGCGUAGAUAUAGGAAGGAACACCAGUGGCGAAGGCGACCACCUGGACUAAUACUGACACUGAGGUGCGAAAGCGUGGGGAGCAAACAGGAUUAGAUACCCCCGUAGUCCCUGUCUCUUAUAA